This 481-nucleotide ribosomal RNA is filed under the name uncultured bacterium. Its description in RNAcentral is "bacterial SSU rRNA". It matches the Rfam family "Bacterial small subunit ribosomal RNA", at positions 501 to 985 of the family's 1533-position model. The record is from RNAcentral.
CUACGUGCCAGCAGCCGCGGUAAUACGGAAGGUCCGGGCGUUAUCCGGAUUUAUUGGGUUUAAAGGGAGCGUAGGCUGGAGAUUAAGUGUGUUGUGAAAUGUAGACGCUCAACGUCUGACUUGCAGCGCAUACUGGUUUCCUUGAGUACGCACAACGUUGGCGGAAUUCGUCGUGUAGCGGUGAAAUGCUUAGAUAUGACGAAGAACUCCGAUUGCGAAGGCAGCUGACGGGAGCGCAACUGACGCUGAAGCUCGAAGGUGCGGGUAUCGAACAGGAUUAGAUACCCUGGUAGUCCGCMCAGUAAACGAUGGAUGCCCGCUGUUGGUACCUGGUAUCAGCGGCUAAGCGAAAGCAUUAAGCAUCCCACCUGGGGAGUACGCCGGCAACGGUGAAACUCAAAGGAAUUGACGGGGGCCCGCACAAGCGGAGGAACAUGUGGUUUAAUUCGAUGAUACGCGAGGAACCUUACCCGGGCUUGAA